AAAUUGAAGAGUUUGAUCAUGGCUCAGAUUGAACGCUGGCGGCAGGCCUAACACAUGCAAGUCGAACGGUAACAGGAAGCAGCUUGCUGCUUUGCUGACGAGUGGCGGACGGGUGAGUAAUGUCUGGGAAACUGCCUGAUGGAGGGGGAUAACUACUGGAAACGGUGGCUAAUACCGCAUAACGUCGCAAGACCAAAGAGGGGGACCUUCGGGCCUCUUGCCAUCAGAUGUGCCCAGAUGGGAUUAGCUUGUUGGUGAGGUAACGGCUCACCAAGGCGACGAUCCCUAGCUGGUCUGAGAGGAUGCCAGCCACACUGGAACUGAGACACGGUCCAGACUCCUACGGGAGGCAGCAGUGGGGAAUAUUGCACAAUGGGCGCAAGCCUGAUGCAGCCAUGCCGCGUGUAUGAAGAAGGCCUUCGGGUUGUAAAGUACUUUCAGCGGGGAGGAAGGUGUUG
RNAcentral lists this ribosomal RNA (458 nucleotides) under Salmonella enterica. RNAcentral's name for it is "bacterial SSU rRNA". It matches the Rfam family "Bacterial small subunit ribosomal RNA", at positions 1 to 456 of the family's 1533-position model. The record is from RNAcentral. Lineage: Bacteria; Pseudomonadati; Pseudomonadota; Gammaproteobacteria; Enterobacterales; Enterobacteriaceae.